Long non-coding RNA from Scylla paramamosain (green mud crab), 738 nucleotides. RefSeq lists it as uncharacterized. The transcript is spliced from 5 exons. Lineage: Eukaryota; Metazoa; Arthropoda; Malacostraca; Decapoda; Portunidae. The record is from RefSeq and is a predicted model, not a curated record.
CAGAGCUUCAUGAACCACACUGGUGCCGCAGCUGCUUCACACCUUCAGUUUCUCUGCGGUGUGCAAAUGUAGAAAGGGAAGGCGGAGGAAUGUGUUGUCUGUGAAAGAUUGCCCUACAUUUUGCCAAGUCAGAGCAGCCUCCACCAUCCUCCCAGCAUCCACAGCACCAAAUCCCUGGAAAAGUAGGGGAUUUAUUGACUGAUCAUAAGCACACACUUGGCCUGCAGAACAAGAGCCACCACUCCUGCCACAAGAGGAGCUGCUGCUGAGGAGCCCUGGAACCGGCUGCUGCAGUGACCGUCCAACUCCGGCACCACCUGUGGGAGGAAGGAAGUAUCCAGGAGCACAAGUCUGACCUGCACCACCUCACAAGCCUGGCCUGCAUGACCCCACAAGUCUGACCUGCAUGACCCCACAAAUCUGACCUGCAUGACCCCAUACAGCAGUGCCAAGUUGGCCAGCCUGCCGGGACCCUCCACAUGGACCCCAUCGUCUUUGGGUCCCCAUGAGGCGCUGAACACGGCCACCUCACCCACGUAUCUGGACAGUGCUGUCGCCUCCUGCACAUCUGUCACUGUGCCAUCUACAAUGCGCACACCUGAACCCAACACAGGAGACUGUUGCAACACCUCUCCUUUAUCAUGGGGAUUAAAGAAAAUGGGAUCUUUAACCAUCCUAACUGUAAAUAGAGCAUGCUGUGACAGAACAUGAAUAAAUUACAUCUGGAGCAGUUCCCAA